GAUGAACGCUGGCGGCGUGCCUAAUACAUGCAAGUCGAGCGAACAGACGAGGAGCUUGCUCCUCUGACGUUAGCGGCGGACGGGUGAGUAACACGUGGAUAACCUACCUAUAAGACUGGGAUAACUUCGGGAAACCGGAGCUAAUACCGGAUAAUAUAUUGAACCGCAUGGUUCAAUAGUGAAAGACGGUUUUGCUGUCACUUUUAGAUGGAUCCGCGCCGGAUUAGCUAGUUGGUAAGGUAACGGCUUACCAAGGCAACGAUGCGUAGCCGACCUGAGAGGGUGAUCGGCCACACUGGAACUGAGACACGGUCCAGACUCCUACGGGAGGCAGCAGUAGGGAAUCUUCCGCAAUGGGCGAAAGCCUGACGGAGCAACGCCGCGUGAGUGAUGAAGGUCUUCGGAUCGUAAAACUCUGUUAUUAGGGAAGAACAAAUGUGUAAGUAACUAUGCACGUCUUGACGGUACCUAAUCAGAAAGCCACGGCUAACUACGUG
RNAcentral lists this ribosomal RNA (497 nucleotides) under uncultured bacterium. RNAcentral's name for it is "partial 16S ribosomal RNA". It matches the Rfam family "Bacterial small subunit ribosomal RNA", at positions 28 to 507 of the family's 1533-position model. The record is from RNAcentral.